Molecule: non-coding RNA, 177 nt
Submitted as: unclassified sequences
Source: Rfam
GUCCCCAGUAUGACGUUAAACUGCUGACUCAUACAUACUGACACCGGUUGCUCAACAGGCUGUGUGGGACAAUAGAAUAACAAGGCUGUCAAUUUGAGCUUGACGGCUGCAAACCGAAUGGAGUGAAAUCCCUUCUGGAGUGCAGUCUGAUUUGUUAUGCCAUUUUGCAGCCGGGUG